This 623-nucleotide ribosomal RNA is filed under the name uncultured bacterium. Its description in RNAcentral is "bacterial SSU rRNA". It matches the Rfam family "Bacterial small subunit ribosomal RNA", at positions 277 to 916 of the family's 1533-position model. The record is from RNAcentral.
CGAUCGGUAGCUGGUCUGAGAGGACGAUCAGCCACACUGGGAUUGAGAACGGCCCAGACUCCUACGGGGGGCAGCAGUGAGGAAUUUUCCGCAAUGGGGGAAACCCUGACGGAGCAACGCCGCGUGCAGGAGGACGCUUUUCGGAGUGUAAACUGCUUUUCUGUGGGAAGAGCAAGGACGGUACCACAGGAAGAAGCCCCGGCUAACUACGUGCCAGCAGCCGCGGUAAUACGUAGGGGGCGAGCGUUGUCCGGAGUUACUGGGCGUAAAGGGCAUGCAGGCGGUCGUACGCGUUUCGGGUGACAGCGGGUGGCUUAACUACCCGAGUGUUCGAAAGACGGUACGACUUGAGGGCUCGAGAGGGACACGGAAUUCCGGGUGGAGUGGUGAAAUGCGUAGAGAUCCGGAGGAACACCGAAGGCGAAGGCAGUGUCCUGGCGAGUGACUGACGCUGAGGUGCGAAAGCUAGGGGAGCGAACGGGAUUAGAUACCCCGGUAGUCCUAGCCGUAAACGAUGACCACCAGGUGUGGGAGGUAUCGACCCCUUCCGUGCCGGAGUUAACACACUAAGUGGUCCGCCUGGGGAGUACGGUCGCAAGAUUAAAACUCAAAGGAAUUGACGG